GGCUUUGGGAUAACCCCGGGAAACCGGGGCUAAUACCGAAUAUGACCUCUGACCGCAUGGUUGGUGGUGGAAAGUUUUUCGGCUUGGGAUGGGCUCGCGGCCUAUCAGCUUGUUGGUGGGGUGAUGGCCUACCAAGGCGACGACGGGUAGCCGGCCUGAGAGGGCGACCGGCCACACUGGGACUGAGACACGGCCCAGACUCCUACGGGGAGGCAGCAGUGGGGGAAUAUUGCACAAUGGGCGGAAGCCUGAUGCAGCGACCCCCGCGUGAGGGAUGACGGCCUUUCGGGUUGUAAACCUCUUUCAGCAGGGACGAAGCGUAAGUGACGGUACCUGCAGAAGAAGCGCCGGCCAACUACGUGCCAGCAGCCGCGGUAAGACGUAGGGCGCGAGCGUUGUCCGGAUUUAUUGGG
RNAcentral lists this ribosomal RNA (413 nucleotides) under uncultured Micromonospora sp. RNAcentral describes it as "bacterial SSU rRNA". It matches the Rfam family "Bacterial small subunit ribosomal RNA", at positions 134 to 558 of the family's 1533-position model. Lineage: Bacteria; Bacillati; Actinomycetota; Actinomycetes; Micromonosporales; Micromonosporaceae. The record is from RNAcentral.